UGGGCCAUCGCCAAGCGGUAAGGCAUAGGACUUUGACUCCUACAUUCGUGGGUUCGAAUCCCGCUGGCCCAG
This 72-nucleotide transfer RNA is filed under the name Oscillospiraceae bacterium Marseille-Q3528. It matches the Rfam family "tRNA". Rfam says of the family: Transfer RNA (tRNA) molecules are approximately 80 nucleotides in length. Their secondary structure includes four short double-helical elements and three loops (D, anti-codon, and T loops). Further hydrogen bonds mediate the characteristic L-shaped molecular structure. tRNAs have two regions of fundamental functional importance: the anti-codon, which is responsible for specific mRNA codon recognition, and the 3' end, to which the tRNAs corresponding amino acid is attached (by aminoacyl-tRNA synthetases). tRNAs cope with the degeneracy of the genetic code in two manners: having more than one tRNA (with a specific anti-codon) for a particular amino acid; and 'wobble' base-pairing, i.e. permitting non-standard base-pairing at the 3rd anti-codon position. RNAcentral also lists the same sequence under 1 other name. Lineage: Bacteria; Bacillati; Bacillota; Clostridia; Eubacteriales; Oscillospiraceae. The record is from Rfam by way of RNAcentral.